This 568-nucleotide ribosomal RNA is filed under the name uncultured bacterium. RNAcentral describes it as "partial 16S ribosomal RNA". It matches the Rfam family "Bacterial small subunit ribosomal RNA", at positions 355 to 914 of the family's 1533-position model. The record is from RNAcentral.
UGGGGAAUAUUGCACAAUGGGCGCAAGCCUGAUGCAGCCAUGCCGCGUGUGUGAAGAAGGCCUUCGGGUUGUAAGCACUUUCAGCGAGGAGGAAGGUGGUGAGCUUAAUACGCUCAUCAAUUGACGUUACUCGCAGAAGAAGCACCGGCUAACUCCGUGCCAGCAGCCGCGGUAAUACGGGAGGGUGCAAGCGUUAAUCGGAAUUACUGGGCGUAAAGCGCACGCAGGCGGUUUGUUAAGUCAGAUGUGAAAUCCCCGGGCUCAACCUGGGAACUGCAUUUGAAACUGGCAAGCUAGAGUCUCGUAGAGGGGGGUAGAAUUCCAGGUGUAGCGGUGAAAUGCGUAGAGAUCUGGAGGAAUACCGGUGGCGAAGGCGGCCCCCUGGACGAAGACUGACGCUCAGGUGCGAAAGCGUGGGGAGCAAACAGGAUUAGAUACCCUGGUAGUCCACGCUGUAAAACGAUGUCGAUUUGGAGGUUGUGCCCUUGAGGCGUGGCUUCCGGAGCUAACGCGUUAAAUCGACCGCCUGGGGAGUACGGCCGCAAGGUUAAAACUCAAAUGAAUUGAC